Molecule: RNA transcript, 4179 nt
Organism: Pieris brassicae (large cabbage white)
Lineage: Eukaryota; Metazoa; Arthropoda; Insecta; Lepidoptera; Pieridae
Gene name: nuclear pore complex protein Nup133-like
Exons: 9
Source: RefSeq, a predicted model, not a curated record
GUGUCAGCUGUCAAUCGUCUAUUAUGACAGUAUUGGAUAGUCCACAUUAGCGUCUGGCGGUUAAUUAAAUUUUCAUUUUACAAAUUAUUAUUUAUUCAAGAAUAAAAUUCUCUAAAACGUUUUAUAAUGGAUUACAAUAGUACUGGUGGAAUGAGGAGUCCGUUCUCUCCACGGUUGAGGCAAUCGUUAUCUGGAAGACGAGCCCAUAGACUAUCAACAGUUGAAAAGAAUCAGAGCAAAUAUGACCGAACAUCGCAACCGCAAAUAAUUGACGUGAUUUAUCAGACAACACAUAGCACAGUAGAGACCUGUGUAAUGCCCCUCCCAGUUAUGGUUACUGAAGCUCUUACAUUUGGCAGUGGUGAUGUUAGUGUAGGCAUGUCACCAUCUGGUUGGUGCUGGGUUGUAACUGGGCGUAGAGUUCUGGCCUGGCCUCAGGAGCUGACAGGUUCAUCAGGGCCAGUAGCUGCUCGUGAACUCACUUUACCCCACACAAAGCUGACCUUGUUUUUAUCUUCUAUGAAAAUGAUGAACAGACGGUACCUUCAGACUGUACCUGAAUGUGAUCGAUUAGUAUCAAGAAUAGAUGACACUGGUACUACUUUGGGAUUGUUACUUCUUGCAAUUGUUACUACUUGUACUUUAUUCAAGAUAUCUACUAAUAGAGAGGGUAGACCAACAGUGAGCUGUACCACUCUUAGGCCCCCAAGUGGCUGGCUUGGUGGUAUAGGCCGACGUGUCUCACUACUAUUCUUUGGCUCAAUGCCAGCUCAUGCUGAUACUAAAUUAGUUGGUGUGGUCAUUCUUUCGAACUUGCCUCCAACUACUGAUGAAGAAGAGAGUGAUGAACUAAUAUGCAUGGUAGCAGAUGGACCACUUCUUCAAAUGUGGUUCCGCAUUGCAUGAGCAUCAUUUACGUAGACCAUUACUGGAUGCAGCAGCUCGGGCCCAUUUGGCUCCACAUGGUAAAAUUACACAAGUGAAAUAAAUUAUAUUUAAAGUCUACUGAGAAACCUUCCAGGAAGAGAUUGCAGUAGUGUUUAAUUGCCUUUUUUGUUGGAUAUACAAAAUCUUUUCGUAAUAUUAGAGAUUAUAAUUUAAACAUUUUAACAUUUAGAUCAAUCAAAAGCAAGUGUAUUUUUAGCUUUCCAACAUAAUGUGCAGUUUGAUAAGUGCGAGCCAAGUACUAUGGAGGUAACAGCGUUGGAUGUGCAGGCGGCAGGUGAUCAUACUUUACUACUUUAGGCAAACAUAUCUGCAGUCACACAGGCUUGACCUGCAGUCACACAGGCUUGACCUGCAGACACGAGUUAUGCUCUGGCCCAAAUGAGAGUGGAGGAACAUCCUGAUUCACCACAAGUGGUGAGUAUAUGCGCAGUUGGAGCCGGACGACAGGAAGAAGGAUCACCGCGUUGUCUGCCACUUGGUCUACGCGCGCUUCUCUAUACAUCGACCGCACUUGCGAUCGUGCCCGCAGAUAAAUGAAUAGCAGAGCAAAAAUAAUUUUAAGCAUGGCAAUCGGCCAUUCAGAAAAUCAUCUCGAAUCUGAAAGCAUACAAUACCUGCCCGUUAUCAACUCUGAACAAAUUCAGGAUUGUAAUAUUCCAGCAAGAGUUUAUCAAGACAUUACAACGGGUAAGGAUUAUUUUGAUACGGAGUGCCAUCCAAUCAGUCAACCUAACCCUAACGAUUUGACCUUAAUUAAUGUUGAAAAUGAGGACAUACUACCAUCUGGAACUGAAGAGAAACAAACCUUGUUCGACGACAUCACCCAGGAACCUCAAAUAGCAGCACAGUUUAGACAACAAAGAGAAACGGCAAAUUUUAGUUUUGAUACGGACUCCUACCCUGACAGCCAGCGUGAUUACGAUAUAUCGUUGACGACAGUGACGCGAACUGUUCUACGUUAUCUAGUUUAACUGAUUUUUCCUCGGAUGAUAGUGGAAAGGAUCCUGAUUUUCUACCUGAGAAAUACAUAGAGUUGAAACGGCCUAAGUACCAUUUUUUUUCACCAAAACCGGGACCUUUCCGGGCAAAUGAUUAAACCAACUACAUGGAAAUGCAGCCUUCUAACACUGAGGCACCUAUCUUAGAGACUGAACAACCACAAUCACCCAGUUGUAACAUCCAUCCCUCUAGUACUGACAGCCAACCGCCUAGCAUUAACAUCCAGCCUCCUAGCAUUGACACCCAGCCUCCUAGCAGUGGCACCCAACCUGAUAGCAUUGACACCCAGCCCCCUAGCAUUGACACCCAGCCCCCUAGCAUGGAUUGUCAACCACCCAGCGUGGAACCUCAGCUGCUAUCCCGAAAAAGAAAAUGUAACCCAGCAUCUUGGAAGAGAAAUAAAUCCAAGGCUCUUAAAAACAGCGGAAAGGCAUAUGAAACAAUGUCCAAAUCAAACAAACAAAUAGAAGCCAAGAAAAUUGGACUUGAAUGUUCCGAUAAAUGCAAAUUAAAAUGUGCUAACCAAUUUUCACGGGAAGAAAGGUUGGCUUUAUUUGAGAACUUUUGGAAGAUUGACUUGACAAAUCAGAGGCAUUUCAUUAGCGACAACAUGACAAAAAUUGAACCUAAGUAUCGCUAUGUCCGUGUUGGCAGCACUCGUCAGAACUUUAAUCACGCAUAUUAUUUCCCUAAAAACGAUAGACGCAUUCGAGUAUGCAAAGUAUACUUUAUUAAUACACUUGCUAUUUCUGAUAAAACUAUAAGAACUGUUGUCAAAAAGAAUUCUGAACGACUUGGAUUAAUACAAGAAAAUCGAGGGAAACAUGGGAACCAGUUCCAGUUAGAGGCCUCUUUGAAAGAUGGUGUCAAAGCACAUAUCAAUUGAAUCCCUAGAAUUGAAAGCCAUUAUUGCCGUGCUCACACAAAACGUAAAUAUAUUGUGGGAAACAUGUCAAUUGCUGCUUUGCAUCGCCUGUACGUUAUCAAGUGCAAAGAAGAAAAUAAGCCACAUGUUUUAUAUAAAAUAUAUUAUAAUAUAUUCAUGGAGGACUUUAACAUCUCCUUUUGGCAACCUAAAAAGGACCAGUGUGAAGACUGUACAGCUUACCUAAAUGCAGAUGAUAAAUCUGUUUUGAAAGAAAAGUACGACUUGCAUUUACAAGAAAAAUGUCUCGCUAGAUCUGAAAAGGAGAGGGAUAAACAAAAUAUUAAUGAGGAUUAUGUAGUGUGUGUAUAUGAUCUACAAGCAGUUAUGCCUUGUCCGCGAGCUGAAGUCUCUAGCUUUUAUUAUAUUUCUAAAUUGAAUUUAUUUAAUUUGACAAUUACUAAAUUAGGAAAGAAUAGUUCAGAUUGUUUUGUAUGGCACGAGGGGGAAGGGGGUCGGGGUUUGAAUGAAAUUGGAUCAUGCGUGCUCAUGUAUUGAAUCGUUUGAACGAUGAAGCUGCGGGUGAUUUCGACGUAGUUUUUUAUAGUGAUAAUUGUUGCGGCCAACAAAAAAACAAAUACAUGCUAGCAACAUACCAAUAUGCUAUGAAAAUAUAUCCGAAAUUGAGAAGUAUCAUUCAUAAGUUUUUAAUAAAGGGACAUACCCAAAAUGAGGGGGAUGCCGCCCACUCAUUAAUUCAACGUAAUAUUUCAAUGGCUUUAAAAUCGUCACCCAUUUCUGUGCCGGACCAGUAUAUUACUCUUAUUACGACAGCAAGGAAAAAGGGUACACCUUUCGCAGUUCACGAACUUGCACAUGACAGUUUUUUAGAUUUAAAAUGCUUGGGUGUUGGAAAUUUUGUCACAUCCGAAGAUGGGCAAAAAGUAAAAUGGUCCGAGAUAAAAAUAAGUCCACAGAGAACAUAAACACCAGUUUUUAUAUAAAACUUGAUACGAAAGCGAAGAAUUCAUCUCAGUCUCCACGCUGACAAAAAGGAUGUCUAAAUCAUCUACUAAUUACAACAUAGUGCCAAAAAAGUUGUAUAAUCAUAAACUUACAAUAUCGGAAACGAAAAAACAAGGUAUACUCAAACUGAUUGAGAAAAAUAUUAUACCUAGAUAUUACGAAAGUUUUUAUCAAAAUUUAUAAAUGUGCCUUUAAAAAAAGACUGUCUUAGAUAUUACUUUUGUGAUUUUAGCCAUACAGGCUGUGAUAUAAUAAUAAAUAGUAAAAGGUAUUAUAAUUAUACUAAUUUAAGCAUAAUUUCAAAUCUUUUAAUGUUCAACUUUCAGCAAUUUUAUUUUAGA